This is a long non-coding RNA of Thalassophryne amazonica, 191 nucleotides long. RefSeq lists it as uncharacterized. The transcript has 3 exons. NCBI's taxonomy places the organism in Eukaryota, Metazoa, Chordata, Actinopteri, Batrachoidiformes, Batrachoididae. The record is from RefSeq and is a predicted model, not a curated record.
CGUUCCAGAGCUGCCACAUUGGUGAGGAGGACGAAGGGGGAGAACAGGAGGGGGAGGAACCAUCCUUUGAGGAAAAAGAGAUGGAGAAACAGAGGCUUCUGUACCAGCAGUCCCGGCUACACAACCGAGGGGCUGCAGAGAUGGUGCUGCAGAUGAUCAGCGCCUGCAAAGGUGAACCUGGUGCCAUGGUU